GCUUGGGGCCGUGUCCUGCUAGGUAUCGUGUCCUGCUUGGUGCCGUGUCCUGCUAGGUGUCGUGUCCUGCUAGGUGUCGUGUCCUGCUUGGUGUCGUGUCCUGCUAGGUGUCGUGUCCUGCUAGGUGUCGUGUCCUGCUUGGUGUCGUAUCCUGCUAGGUGUCGUGUCCUGCUAGGUGUUGUGUCCUGCUAGGUGUCGUGUCCUGCUAGGUGUCGUGUCCUGCUUGUGUCCUGCUAGGUGUCGUGUCCUGCUAGGUGUCGUGUCCUGCUAGGUGUCGUGUCCUGCUAGGUGUCGUGUCCUGCUAGGUGUCGUGUCCUGCUAGGUGUCGUGUCCUGCUAGGUGUCGUGUCCUGCUAGGUGUCGUGUCCUGCUAGGUGUCGUGUCCUGCUAGGUGUCGUGUCCUGCUUGUGUCCUGCUAGGUGUCGUGUCCUGCUAGGUGUCGUGUCCUGCUAGGUGUCGUGUCCUGCUAGGCGUCGUGUCCUGCUAGGCGUCGUGUCCUGCUAGGCGUCGUGUCCUGCUAGGCGUCG
Molecule: long non-coding RNA, 526 nt
Organism: Oncorhynchus tshawytscha (Chinook salmon)
Lineage: Eukaryota; Metazoa; Chordata; Actinopteri; Salmoniformes; Salmonidae
Source: Ensembl